RNAcentral lists this non-coding RNA (29 nucleotides) under Homo sapiens (human). Lineage: Eukaryota; Metazoa; Chordata; Mammalia; Primates; Hominidae. The record is from RNAcentral.
ACCUUUCCUAGAGCUCCAGGGACCGGGGA